Molecule: ribosomal RNA, 253 nt
Filed under: uncultured bacterium
Lineage: Bacteria
Description: partial 16S ribosomal RNA
Rfam family: Bacterial small subunit ribosomal RNA
Source: RNAcentral
UACGUAGGGUGCAAGCGUUGUCCGGAAUUAUUGGGCGUAAAGAGCUCGUAGGCGGUUUGUCGCGUCUGCUGUGAAAACUCGGGGCUUAACCCCGGGCCUGCAGUGGGUACGGGCAGACUAGAGUGCGGUAGGGGAGACUGGAAUUCCUGGUGUAGCGGUGAAAUGCGCAGAUAUCAGGAGGAACACCGGUGGCGAAGGCGGGUCUCUGGGCCGUAACUAACGCUGAGGAGCGAAAGCGUGGGGAGCGAACAGG